AGAAUCAACGCUGGCGGCGUGCCUAACACAUGCAAGUCGAACGAGAAAGUGGAGCAAUCCAUGAGUAAAGUGGCGCACGGGUGAGUAACACGUAACUAACCUACCCUUGAGUGGGGGAUAACCUAGGGAAACCUGGGCUAAUACCGCAUAAUACCUUCGGGUCAAAGGAGCAAUUCGCUUAAGGAGGGGGUCGCGGCCGAUUAGUUAGUUGGCGGGGUAAUGGCCCACCAAGACUGUGAUCGGUAUCC
This 248-nucleotide ribosomal RNA is filed under the name uncultured bacterium. RNAcentral's name for it is "partial small subunit ribosomal RNA". It matches the Rfam family "Bacterial small subunit ribosomal RNA", at positions 26 to 288 of the family's 1533-position model. The record is from RNAcentral.